This is a non-coding RNA of Chrysemys picta bellii (western painted turtle), 460 nucleotides long. The record is from RefSeq and is a predicted model, not a curated record. Lineage: Eukaryota; Metazoa; Chordata; Testudines; Emydidae.
UUUGCACAGCCAGGCUGCACCAGAAAUGCCAGGAGUCUCUCUGAGAUUCCAAGGCUGGUCCCAAGAUCUUCUUUAUCUUCCCCUCCCUCCCCCCAUUCUUAGUUAAUCAGUAUUCAAGAACUGUACCCCAGUGGCACUGUGAAUAGACACAGCUGCUAAAAGAGUCCAGAGCUGCCAGACACAAGCCAGAAUGAAGCUGUACAACCAGCCCCCCGGAGAAUGGGCCUGAGCUCUGCUUCUCUGGCGUGAGCUUGCUCUGCUCUGAAACAAUUGGAUCUGGCCUUCUCUCAGGUAGCAGGUUCCAAUCUCUUGUGGAAAGGAGUUCUGCAGGUAAUUCAGCCUACAGAAUAGAAGAUGCCAACCAAGAUACUAUCGGGGUCCUUGUGCAGCUGAUCACGGAGAAGAAAGAGAACGCUGCAGCCCUGGAGGAGCUGCUGAAGGAGUACCACAGCAAACAGGU